Hymenopellis radicata is the source of this 91-nucleotide non-coding RNA. The record is from the annotation of a GenBank genome assembly. Lineage: Eukaryota; Fungi; Basidiomycota; Agaricomycetes; Agaricales; Physalacriaceae.
GCAUUAAUGGGGUAGUGGUAACCUGGGUCGUUGCCAUAUGGUUGCCGUGGUCUCUGUCGACCCGCCGGGGGUUCGAUUCCCCCUUAAUGCA